Molecule: ribosomal RNA, 492 nt
Filed under: uncultured bacterium
Lineage: Bacteria
Description: partial 16S ribosomal RNA
Rfam family: Bacterial small subunit ribosomal RNA
Source: RNAcentral
AGUGAACGCUGGCGGUAGGCCUAACACACGCGAGUCGAACGGCAGCACAGUAAGAGCUUGCUCUUACGGGUGGCGAGUGGCGGACGGGUGAGGAAUACAUCGGAAUCUACUUUUUCGUGGGGGAUAACGUAGGGAAACUUACGCUAAUACCGCAUACGACCUACGGGUGAAAGCAGGGGAUCUUCGGACCUUGCGCGAUUGAAUGAGCCGAUGUCGGAUUAGCUAGUUGGCGGGGUAAAGGCCCACCAAGGCGACGAUCCGUAGCUGGUCUGAGAGGAUGAUCAGCCACACUGGAACUGAGACACGGUCCAGACUCCUACGGGAGGCAGCAGUGGGGAAUAUUGGACAAUGGGCGCAAGCCUGAUCCAGCCAUACCGCGUGGGUGAAGAAGGCCUUCGGGUUGUAAAGCCCUUUUGUUGGGAAAGAAAAGCAGCAGGUUAAUACCCCGCUGUUCUGACGGUACCCAAAGAAUAAGCACCGGCUAACUUCGUG